This 251-nucleotide unclassified non-coding RNA is filed under the name Hevea brasiliensis (rubber tree). Lineage: Eukaryota; Viridiplantae; Streptophyta; Magnoliopsida; Malpighiales; Euphorbiaceae. The record is from RNAcentral.
ACUUCUCAUAGAAAGAUUCCAACGCAGAAGAGUAUUUUGAGUAUGAAAUUAGCCAAUUCACGGAAGGGAAGUGCUUCCUCUGGGCAAGCUUCUUAUCUAGACCCCAGAAAACCUGGACAAUACUGAGGGUGGCAGACGUCACUGGAUCAGAGAAAUCUCCUCCAGGGGGAGAAACUGCACCGACAAUGGUAACACUGCCAGUUCGUUCUGGCCCACCAAGACACUUCACUUUACCAGCACGCUCAUAGAAA